RNAcentral lists this transfer RNA (77 nucleotides) under Novimethylophilus kurashikiensis. RNAcentral's name for it is "tRNA-His". It matches the Rfam family "tRNA". From Rfam's summary of the family: Transfer RNA (tRNA) molecules are approximately 80 nucleotides in length. Their secondary structure includes four short double-helical elements and three loops (D, anti-codon, and T loops). Lineage: Bacteria; Pseudomonadati; Pseudomonadota; Betaproteobacteria; Nitrosomonadales; Methylophilaceae. The record is from RNAcentral.
GUGGCCAUAGCUCAACUGGAUAGAGCCCAGGAAUGUGACUCCUGUGGUUGAGAGUUCGAACCUCUCUGGUCACCCCA